RNAcentral lists this ribosomal RNA (484 nucleotides) under uncultured bacterium. Its description in RNAcentral is "partial 16S ribosomal RNA". It matches the Rfam family "Bacterial small subunit ribosomal RNA", at positions 28 to 507 of the family's 1533-position model. The record is from RNAcentral.
AUUGAACGCUGGCGGCAUGCUUUACACAUGCAAGUCGAACGGCAGCGCGGGCUUCGGCCUGGCGGCGAGUGGCGAACGGGUGAGUAAUGCAUCGGAACGUGCCCAGUAGUGGGGGAUAGCCCGGCGAAAGCCGGAUUAAUACCGCAUACGACCUGAGGGUGAAAGCGGGGGACCGAAAGGCCUCGCGCUAUUGGAGCGGCCGAUGUCGGAUUAGCUAGUUGGUGGGGUAAAGGCUUACCAAGGCGGCGAUCCGUAGCUGGUCUGAGAGGACGACCAGCCACACUGGGACUGAGACACGGCCCAGACUCCUACGGGAGGCAGCAGUGGGGAAUUUUGGACAAUGGGGGCAACCCUGAUCCAGCCAUGCCGCGUGCGGGAAGAAGGCCUUCGGGUUGUAAACCGCUUUUGUUCGGGAAGAAAUGCUCUGGGCUAAUACCCCGGGGGGAUGACGGUACCGGAAGAAUAAGCACCGGCUAACUACGUG